RNAcentral lists this ribosomal RNA (463 nucleotides) under uncultured bacterium. Its description in RNAcentral is "partial 16S ribosomal RNA". It matches the Rfam family "Bacterial small subunit ribosomal RNA", at positions 28 to 507 of the family's 1533-position model. The record is from RNAcentral.
GAUGAACGCUGACAGAAUGCUUAACACAUGCAAGUCGAUGGGGAAGUGGUGCUUGCACCAUGGCAACCAUGGCGGACGGGUGAGUAACGCGUAAGGGACUUACCUGCAGGACUGGGAUAACAGGGGGAAACUCCUGACAAGACCGGAUAAUGUCAUGGAGCUGCAUGGCUUUAUGAUGAAAGGAGACGCCUGCGGAGAGCCUUGCGUCCUAUUAGCUAGUUGGUGAGGUAAUGGCUCACCAAGGCGAAGAUAGGUAGCCGGCCUGAGAGGGUGGACGGCCACAAGGGGACUGAGAUACGGCCCUUACUCCUACGGGAGGCAGCAGUGGGGAAUAUUGGACAAUGGGGGCAACCCUGAUACAGCAAUUCUGUGUGCACGAAGAAGGUUUUCGGAUUGUAAAGUGCUUUCAGCAGGGAAGAAGUAAGUGACGGUACCUGCAGAAGAAGCGACGGCUAAAUACGUG